ACUCGAACGGACAAGCCAGCAAUGGUUUGUUAGUGGCGAACGGUCGCGUAACACGUAAGCAACCUGCCUCGAAGUGGGGGACAACAUCCUGAAAGGGGUGCUAAUACCGCAUGUGGAUAUUUAGUCGCAUGACUUUUUAUCUAAAGGCCUUCGGGUCGCUUCGAGAUGGGCUUGCGGCCUAUCAGGUAGUUGGUGGGGUAACGGCCUACCAAGCCUUCGACGGGUAGCUGGUCUGAGAGGACGAUCAGCCGGAUUGGGACUGAGAUACGGCCCAGACUCCUACGGGGGGCAGCAAUUAGGAAUCUUGCACAAUGGGCGAAAGCCUGAUGCAGCGACGCCGCGUGAAGGAUGAAGGAUUUCGGUCUGUAAACUUCUUUUAAGUGGGAAAAAAUUUGACGGUACCACUUGAAUAAGCCCCGGCUAACUACGUGCCAGCAGCCGCGGUAAUACGUAGGGGGCGAGCGUUGUCCGAAGUUACUGGACGUAAAGCGCGCGUAGGCGGCUAUUUAAGUCUGGGGUGAAAGGUUCAGCGCUCAACGUGAACAUUGCCUUGGAUACUGGAUGGCUUGAGUCUGACAGAGGGAAACGGAAUUCCUGGUGUAGCGGUGAAAUGCGUAGAUAUCAGGAGGAACACCGGUGGCGAAGGCGGUUUCCUGGGUUAAGACUGACGCUGAGGUGCGAAAGCGUGGGGAGCGAACGGGAUUAGAUACCCCGGUAGUCCACGCCGUAAACGAUGAGUGCUAGGUGUUCGGGGUAUCGACCCCCCGGGUGCCGUCGCUAACGCAUUAAGCACUCCGCCUGGGGAGUACGGCCGCAAGGUUGAAACUCAAAGGAAUUGACGGGGGCCCGCACAAGCGGUGGAGCAUGUGGAUUAAUUCGUCACUAACCGAAGAACCUUACCCAGGUUUGACAUCUGUGGAACCUGCCUGAAAGGGCGGGGUGCCCUCGGGAGCCACAA
RNAcentral lists this ribosomal RNA (958 nucleotides) under uncultured bacterium. Its description in RNAcentral is "bacterial SSU rRNA". It matches the Rfam family "Bacterial small subunit ribosomal RNA", at positions 60 to 1032 of the family's 1533-position model. The record is from RNAcentral.